CCUACGGGUGGCAGCAGUGAGGAAUAUUGGUCAAUGGACGAGAGUCUGAACCAGCCAAGUAGCGUGAAGGAUGACUGCCCUAAGGGUUGUAAACUUCUUUUAUCUGGGAAUAAAAUGUUCCACGUGUGGGAUUUUGUAUGUACCAUAUGAAAAAGGAUCGGCUAACUCCGUGCCAGCAGCCGCGGUAAUACGGAGGAUCCGAGCGUUAUCCGGAUUUAUUGGGUUUAAAGGGUGCGUAGGUGGAUUGUUAAGUCAGUUGUGAAAGGUUGCGGCUCAACCGUAAAAUUGCAGUUGAAACUGGCAGUCUUGAGUACAGUAGAGGUGUGCGGAAUUCGUGGUGUAGCGGUGAAAUGCUUAGAUAUCACGAAGAACUCCGAUUGCGAAGGCAGCUUACUAAACUGGCACUGACAUUGAUGCUCGAAAGUGUGGGUAUCAAACAGGAUUAGAUACCCCAGUAGUC
RNAcentral lists this ribosomal RNA (460 nucleotides) under uncultured bacterium. Its description in RNAcentral is "partial 16S ribosomal RNA". It matches the Rfam family "Bacterial small subunit ribosomal RNA", at positions 338 to 795 of the family's 1533-position model. The record is from RNAcentral.